AACGAACGCUGGCGGCAUGCCUAACACAUGCAAGUCGAACGAGACCAUCGGGUCUAGUGGCGCACGGGUGCGUCACGCGUGGGAACCUGCACUUAGGCACGGAAUAACUCUCUGACAGGGGUGCUAAUAUCGGAAAAUGUCCUCGGACCCAAGAUUCAUCGCACUUGGAGGGGCAGGCGUUGGUCUGGCUUGUUGGUAGGGGAAAAGCCUAUCACGGCGAGGAUCCAUAGCUGGUUAGAGAGGAAGAUCAGCGACACUUGGACUGGGAUACGGCGCAGACUCCUGCGCGAGGCAGCAGUGGGGAAUCUUGGAAUACGGGCUGAGGGCUGAUCCAGCAAGGCCUCGUGAGUGAUGAUGGCCUGAGAGAUGUAAAGCUCUUUUACCCGGGAUGAUAAUGACGGUACCGGGAGAAUAAGCGCCGGCUAACUCCGUG
This 433-nucleotide ribosomal RNA is filed under the name uncultured bacterium. RNAcentral's name for it is "partial 16S ribosomal RNA". It matches the Rfam family "Bacterial small subunit ribosomal RNA", at positions 29 to 507 of the family's 1533-position model. The record is from RNAcentral.